This 417-nucleotide ribosomal RNA is filed under the name uncultured bacterium. RNAcentral's name for it is "bacterial SSU rRNA". It matches the Rfam family "Bacterial small subunit ribosomal RNA", at positions 359 to 776 of the family's 1533-position model. The record is from RNAcentral.
GAAUAUUGCGCAAUGGGCGACAGCCUGACGCAGCGACGCCUCGUGGGGGAUGAAGGUCUUCGGAUUGUAAACCCCUUUCGGGAGGGAAGAGGGAAUGGGGUAACCCAUUCGGACGGUACCGCCAGAAGCAGCGACGGCUAACUUCGUGCCAGCAGCCGCGGUAAUACGAAGGUGGCAAGCGUUGUUCGGAUUCACUGGGCGUACCGGGAGCGUAGGCGGUUGGGUAAGCCCUCCGUGAAAUCUCCGGGCCUAACCCGGAAAGUGCAGAGGGGACUGCUCGGCUUGAGGACGGGAGAGGAGCGCGGAAUUCCCGGUGUAGCGGUGAAAUGCGUAGAGAUCGGGAGGAAGGCCGGUGGCGAAGGCGGCGCUCUAGAACGUUUCUGACGCUGAGGCUCGAAAGCGUGGGGAGCAAACAGG